Molecule: RNA transcript, 1148 nt
Organism: Platichthys flesus (European flounder)
Lineage: Eukaryota; Metazoa; Chordata; Actinopteri; Pleuronectiformes; Pleuronectidae
Gene: c10h21orf58
Exons: 9
Source: RefSeq, a predicted model, not a curated record
UCCACUGUCGACCAGAUGACAAGACUCAAACUCAGACUGCUGGAGAAGAGACUGGAAAACGAAAAGCAGAACAUGGACGACAGAGCAGAGUCGGCACAGUCUGCAAGGACUUAUGAUGGGCAUCUGGAUGCACUGUACGGUGCACUAAGGCGAAAGCAGGACCUCCUGCAAAGACUGAGGGAGCAGCAUAUGUUAGAAGACCUUCAUAGACCUCACACUUGGGGAGGGUCCAGAAAACACCACCAGUCCCAUUUUGUCACUGUCCCACCACGGCUGCCAGCACUCCCAUCCAAUUUACCCACUCACAUCCACCACCCAGCCCUGGCUUUGCCCUUCCUGGCGCCUCCACCACCUGCUGUGCCUACGCGCAUCAUUCAACAGACUCUCCCCCAGCAUCCUGCCACCAUCAUUCAACAGCUGCCCCAACAGCAGCCUCUGACUGCUCAGAUUCCUCUACCUCACCUGUAUCCUGCUCUACGUUCAGGCAGCGUCAAAGAGGACAUGGUGGAACUGAUGCUGAUGCAAAAUGCCCAGAUGCACCAGAUUAUAAUUCACAACAUGAUGCUGAAAGCCAUGCCUCAUAUGGCCCUGUCGCCAACCAGGGGACCCGAUAUCUGUGCCAUCCACAGUGGACAGCCAGAUGUCAGGCCAAGAGGAAGUGCUGUCCAUCAUCAUCAUCACUACGGUCCUCACCCUGCAGCAACACAAGUGCCUCGUAUCCGUUACCCUCCAUGGUUAUCAUCAGGCAUCCCAGAAGGACAAGCAGGGGGUCACCUCCCCCCCUUACACCAUGCAACAGCACCUAUUCCACUCCCACCAGUCAAUGCCACAACAGGGUCUGGCCCCGAGCUACAUCAGAGAACUGUUGACCCCUUCUUUGCCUGCAUGAAGCCUUAGAUCCUCAGGUGGAUCCUUGCUGGCUGUUCCAAAGUCCAGGUUGAGAACUAAAGGACUCAAGUUUUUCUCUGAGAAUCCCUGGUGUAGUAGCAGUGGUCAAACAUUAUGAAAAUAAAACUUCAAUAACCAAGAUUAAACAUUACACCCAUUGCGCAUCAUUCACCAAUGGAGUUACUGUUGAAACAUUUUAUUGUGUACAUGAAUCAUGUAUGAAUGGAAGACAAAUAAAUCCAGAUAAUAAACAGGGUCGA